AAAUCUUCUCAUAUUUAGUUCAGCUCCUAUGUGAGCGGGAGACUGGAGAGAUUCUUCAAGGAUCCACUGAGAUUUGAUCCAGACAGAUUUCACCCAGAUGCUCCCAAGCCUUAUUACUGCUACUACCCCUUUGCCCUCGGUCCUCGCUCGUGUCUGGGACAGAACUUUGCUCAGAUGGAGGCUAAAGUGGUGAUGGCCAAACUGCUCCAGAGGUUUGACUUCACUCUCGUCCCGGGACAGACCUUUGACAUCCUGGAUGCUGGCACACUCAGACCAAAGAGUGGAGUGUUGUGCACUUUGAGUCACAGGGAUUACAAAAAUAAGGCAACAUCACAUAAGUGGUAGUAGACCAUAGAAGAAAAUGGGUUACUCUUUACUAAUGUAAACAAAAACAAAUCUAAAAGCA
Haplochromis burtoni (Burton's mouthbrooder) is the source of this 406-nucleotide RNA transcript. RefSeq lists it as uncharacterized. The record is from RefSeq and is a predicted model, not a curated record. The transcript has 3 exons. Lineage: Eukaryota; Metazoa; Chordata; Actinopteri; Cichliformes; Cichlidae.